Molecule: non-coding RNA, 80 nt
Filed under: marine sediment metagenome
Also listed under: 1 other name
Description: c-di-GMP-I riboswitch aptamer
Rfam family: c-di-GMP-I riboswitch aptamer
About the family: GEMM was predicted in a large-scale screen for bacterial structured RNA regulatory elements. Genes associated with GEMM are involved in a diverse array of functions, including chemotaxis regulation, signal transduction, secretion and chitin.
Source: RNAcentral
UGUCCAAGGCAAACCCGUUGCAAGGCGGGGGCGCAAAGCCACAGGUCUCGCAGUUUUCCGGCGAGAUGGCUGGGUUGCCG